AAAAUGGCUGUGAAGAGAAGAGUAGGUUUUCGCAUUGAUCCUUCCAGAGAGCCCGGGCGGUGGAAAAGGGCAGGAAACAGGGAACUGAAAAUGGUCUCGGAGCCGCGGGGGCGAAGUGCAAGAGUGCUAAGCCUGCGACGGGAGCGCCCGUUACAGCGUCCGGUUGUCGCGUUGCAAAACGCCGCAGCAGUGAGGCUGUCUCUGUGAGGGGACAGUAAACCAAGGUGGUACCACGGAAGUUUUACGCUUUCGUCCUUGUG
RNAcentral lists this non-coding RNA (260 nucleotides) under Faecalibacterium prausnitzii. RNAcentral describes it as "T-box sequence". It matches the Rfam family "T-box leader". From Rfam's summary of the family: Uncharged tRNA acts as the effector for transcription antitermination of genes in the T-box leader family. T-boxes are found upstream of many aminoacyl-tRNA synthetase genes and some amino acid biosynthetic genes usually in Gram-positive bacteria. The anticodon of a specific tRNA base pairs to a specifier sequence within the T-box motif, and the NCCA acceptor tail of the tRNA base pairs to a conserved bulge in the T-box antiterminator hairpin. The record is from RNAcentral. Lineage: Bacteria; Bacillati; Bacillota; Clostridia; Eubacteriales; Oscillospiraceae.